Elizabethkingia anophelis is the source of this 28-nucleotide non-coding RNA. Lineage: Bacteria; Pseudomonadati; Bacteroidota; Flavobacteriia; Flavobacteriales; Weeksellaceae. The record is from Rfam.
CAACCUCUGACGAUAGACGUGUAUGUUG